RNAcentral lists this small nucleolar RNA (208 nucleotides) under Felis catus (domestic cat). Its description in RNAcentral is "Small nucleolar RNA U3 (ENSFCAG00000051630.1)". It matches the Rfam family "Small nucleolar RNA U3". From Rfam's summary of the family: Small nucleolar RNAs (snoRNAs) are involved in the processing and modification of rRNA in the nucleolus. There are two main classes of snoRNAs: the box C/D class, and the box H/ACA class. The record is from RNAcentral. Lineage: Eukaryota; Metazoa; Chordata; Mammalia; Carnivora; Felidae.
UAGACUAUCUUCAGGGAUCAUUUCUAUAGUUUGUUUCUAGUACAUGCGUUUCUAGUGUCUGGUCUCGCUAAACAUAAACGAGGAGUAACAGUGUUUUCUUCUGAGCGCGACGCGGGACUUGAAUGCUCCUUCACUGUUAGCUGUUCUGGAUCAUUGAGAAACAUUCCGCUCUCUUUGGGAUCGAGCCCACGUUGGACGUCCUUUUUUA